RNAcentral lists this long non-coding RNA (212 nucleotides) under Elaeis guineensis (African oil palm). RNAcentral's name for it is "long non-coding RNA (EGUI_LNC048732)". Lineage: Eukaryota; Viridiplantae; Streptophyta; Magnoliopsida; Arecales; Arecaceae. The record is from RNAcentral.
GGGGUUGGUAAUCAUCCGAGCAAUGAGUCGGAUAGAAGCCGAUAAGAUAAUGUCCCCCUAGUUCAGUCUCUUGGAUUUUUCUUUUUUUGAUGUUCCAGGUGAUCUUGGUGAGUCGUUAGUAGGUACUAGGUUAUAACCCGAGAAGAGGAAGAUCGGGUCGAACGGUGGAUAACCUCCAUAACAAUUUCUCAUUUGAGAUUUACGUUGGGGGU